GACGAACGCUGGCGGCGCGCCUAACACAUGCAAGUCGAACGGAGCUUAGAGAGCUUGCUUUUUAAGCUUAGUGGCGAACGGGUGAGUAACGCGUGAGCAACCUGCCCUAGAGUGGGGGACAACAGUUGGAAACGACUGCUAAUACCGCAUAAGCCCACGGUACCGCAUGGUACUGAGGGAAAAGGAUUUAUUCGCUUUAGGAUGGACUCGCGUCCAAUUAGCUAGUUGGUGAGGUAACGGCCCACCAAGGCGACGAUUGGUAGCCGGACUGAGAGGUUGAACGGCCACAUUGGGACUGAGACACGGCCCAGGCUCCUACGGGAGGCAGCAGUGGGGGAUAUUGCACAAUGGGGGAAACCCUGAUGCAGCGACGCCGCGUGGAGGAAGAAGGUUUUCGGAUUGUAAACUCCUGUCGUUAGGGACGAUAAUGACGGUACCUAACAAGAAAGCACCGGCUAACUACGUGCCAGCAGCCGCGGUAAAACGUAGGGUGCAAGCGUUGUCCGGAAUUACUGGGUGUAAAGGGAGCGCAGGCGGGAAGACAAGUUGGAAGUGAAAACCAUGGGCUCAACCCAUGAAUUGCUUUCAAAACUGUUUUUCUUGAGUAGUGCAGAGGUAGAUGGAAUUCCCNGGUGUAGCGGUGGAAUGCGUAGAUAUCGGGAGGAACACCAGUGGCGAAGGCGGUCUACUGGGCACCAACU
RNAcentral lists this ribosomal RNA (701 nucleotides) under uncultured Lachnospiraceae bacterium. Its description in RNAcentral is "bacterial SSU rRNA". It matches the Rfam family "Bacterial small subunit ribosomal RNA", at positions 28 to 741 of the family's 1533-position model. Lineage: Bacteria; Bacillati; Bacillota; Clostridia; Lachnospirales; Lachnospiraceae. The record is from RNAcentral.